Non-coding RNA from Varroa destructor (honeybee mite), 2925 nucleotides. The record is from RefSeq and is a predicted model, not a curated record. NCBI's taxonomy places the organism in Eukaryota, Metazoa, Arthropoda, Arachnida, Mesostigmata, Varroidae.
UGCGGCCGCUGCCGCUGGUGCUCACAGGCACUACUGCUGAUUAAGGUAAACUCGCUUUAGCUCAUCUCGUCGUUUCUUUUCGUCCUGAUGAUGAUUGGUAACCGCGGUUGCUGCUGCUGCUAUUUAUGGGUGAUGGAGCGUCGUCGACCAACCGAAAGUGCCGUUGUUGUUGUGAAGAGAAAGUUGUUGCUGAUGUUGCUGUUGUAAACGUUGCUGAUGUUGUUAUUGUUGUGGCCUCCUUUCUCCCGCUGCUUGAGAUGAACCCAAAUAGCUUCUCUUAAGCCCUCGCCCCCAUUCGACGAAUCUCGCUGAAUAAGAAAACGGUGGGGAAUCUCUAAAAGACAGAUACAGAGUUAUGUCUAAACUUUUGCUACCGCAAAGAAGGCGGUUGUUCUGGCUUUUACGAGUUCUACAUGUUCGUAUACCGUCAACGAACGUCAUAACUGAUGCUGUUGUUCCCGUUAUCACCUGUAUCAUCUUGUUGCCAUAAAGACUAGCAGAAUGACUGAACGGGCAGUUAGUCGACUAAUGCGCGUAUACAUUCCAGUCUUGCACUCAGGUUCUAGAGCAUUGUCAUGCAGUAGAUAGCGCGCUGAGCCUCAUUUGUCUCUAAUGCAUAUUUAAUCUCCUAGAAGCGUCGUGUACGCACAUACUGACUGAAUAGGACAGCUAUACCCGUUAAACUCCUUCCCCUUAAACGACCGAAGCUAAUCUUCGUCACUCUGACAACAACUGUAGCAGCAAGAGUAGACAAUGGGGUCAGAAUAGGAAGCCCUAUACCAUCGUAGCGGCCAACGCAGUGCGCGUCAACUGACGCUUCGGUUAGCGUUAGCGCAUCAGCGAUUUUGUUAGUGAGUAAUAAAGAAGGGGAGACCAGCUCGGAAACCAGUGAAAUGAAUGCUGUACAGAUGAGUGCUUCAGCUUACGGGAGCAUUAAGGAGAGUGGCGGGUGCGACACGAUAAGUGGUGGGAGCGCCUCUAACAACUCGGACAUCGGUGAAACGGCAUCAUCACAGGCAUUUUCUCCGCUGCGAGGGUAUAAGCUUUGAGAGCUCUUAGCUCAAUUACGUGUUGAUCCAUCAACUCUAACCCAGGUUAAUCCAAUGAAGAAAAGCCAAAACCAUAAUGGUUUACUAUCAGACUUGCAACAGCGUAAGUCUCCAUUCCGACCGGGCGUUUACCAGGUCGCACUUUAAUUAUAACCGAAGUCUAGUAACGUUUUAGAUUUCAACGUAGAGCUUUUGUAGAAUUAAUGUCAUGCCGAUUUGUUCGUUAUGUAUGCAUCUAGUUAUAAUAAGCCCUGCUAAGUGGAGUAAAGGCCGAGGUUGUAAGAAAGUCAUAUAAGGACAUUAUUGUGGUCAAAGUUAGCUGAGAGAUCAAACGUGGACGGUGACUGACAAUAGACUUAAUUAAUUUCAUUACAACCAUGCGUCCGAUUUUGACUUAGUAAAAUGACAGACCAUAUUGAAUCAUUUAUUAACUGCGACGUGUUCGACGUGCUGGAAACACCCAAGGGGCGUUCAUACUUGCAAUCGUUUUAUAUCGGUCUGUUUUUGUUUGUAUAAAAGAUCCCUAAGCAGUACUGGUCAGACAUGUAAAGCAAAUAAAUAUUUAAAAAUUGUCAUUUUAAAACAGAGAGCAUAUGAGUAAGUUUUCGGAAUUCCGGGGCACCUCAGGAUCGAGAACGAGCAGCAGAUGUUUCAGCUUAGGUAGUUAGUUAGCUUAGGAAAUGUAACACCGUCAAAGAAUGCGCCAUUUCGUAAUAUCGUCAUCCGAGACAAACGGGCAAUGCGCAGGUUUAUACCAUUCUAUUAUAAUUAGUAUAUAAUACCAGCAGUAUUUGAACGUAAAGGAACCAUAUUGAUACGCUCACCUUCACAUCAAUUUAAUGAAAAGGUCACCAUUGAUCUAUUCUUGAAAAUAUGUCAUGUACUGUCAUACAGUUUCACAGCAUCUGUACGUUAUAAAUUCUUUUCAAUAAGAGAGUAUAUUACAGCUAAUUUAAUUCUAACAGUACAAGAUUAUUUUGAACAAAUAAUCUUAAUAAUAUUUAAAGAUUUGCUCUGUUAAAUUUUAGUAUAAUAAUAGUUAUAACAAUGAGUAAAAGCUCCAUAAACUGACUUAAUUCCUUAAGAUGAUAACCUUAACUUAAGGAAGUUGCAUUUACCCUGUACAAAGAUGGAAAAUUGCAUCUACUAUCUACGAUGUCAUGAUCUUUACACACACUUCAUGUAGAAGCUGAUAGCCUGACAUAAUGAGCUAUCUAAAAGCAAGAAAGCAACCAACUGAGUUUUCUCGAAUUUGGUAGUCUUCACAUAUUACUAAAAAUAAAUGUGAUGCUUUGUAAAAAUGCCAGACAAAAGACAUUGCACAGUUUCAUCCAAUGAAAUAUCCUAUUCCAUCUUUUUUGGCCUCUGCUCUGCUAUAUUUUCCUGCAAGUGUGCCUGUGUACUCAUCUUUGUAUUUUUAAUUCAUAACUAAAUUUUUAUUGGUUUGUUUGCUUAGUAUUUAUCUUUGAGUACGUACUUAGUUAUCCUGUGAACGAUUUGCAAAAAGAACGUAUGUUCUUUUUUGUUUAAUAGAGAUAAUUUACUAAUAUUUCACCUCAAACUGUCCUCUACUAAUUAAUAACUAGGUCAUUAUUGUAAUGCUAGUCACCAUUGACUGUCUUCUGAUCGUCGUGGAACUGCUGGCAGAGAGGCGGGUCCUUGAAGUUGUCGGAGGACAUCCACAGGAACGGUACUACAACCACUACGUUCAUGUAUUACACCAUCUUUCGAUAGCGAUUCUUUCGAUCUUCGUCGUCGAAAUUAUAGCUAAAGUGUACGCGUUUAGCGUUAUUGGGUUCCUAAACCAUAAACUUGAGGUAGUAUUAUUUGCUUUCUAUUCGAAACAAAAUAAAUAAAAUGUACAUUUGAAACUGUA